GAAAAAGACAAAAUUCAGAAUUCACUCUCAGCAUAUCACGCUCAUACCUCACCAUCCACUCCGAAAAUCUCUCAAAAAAAAUCUCUCAUGGAUCUUCCACCUUUUCUCUCACCACGCGUCCUUCAUUGCUCAUUGGCAAAAAGACAAAAAAAGUGGUUCUAUGACAGAUUCAGUAUCGCACAAGGUUUCGGAAAGCGACGAAACCAUGCUCGUCUUCAAUCUAGCGCGUGAGGUUAUAGUGUUGCGGAUGUGUUGAAGUGAUUAAAGCAAUACCUGUGAUUUAAUUCAGCAUUGCGGUAACGACAUAAUUUGAUUUCCUGCUGAGUUCUGUGUAUUAAUGUUGUUGUGUUACGUUUCAUUAUGCGGAUUUUUUUUCUCUCCGCCUUCAAUUCGGUGUUUAAUGUGUACCUGUGUAUAAAGUUAAGUAUAGCCAUUACACUUUGAAAUGUUGUGAAUGAUUUAUGUGCUGUUGUGUUUUACAUUUCCACGUCGAAAUCAAAUUUAUGAUGAUGGAUAGUCGAUGCUAGUAGCGAUGUCGCAGGUGUAAGGUUUAUGAGUUUUCAUGUCAAUUUUAGCAUCACUGUAAUUAAUUUUUUGGGGCUGUUAGUUCUGUUUCAUGUUUCCUUUUGAUUAGAGUUGAUGCAUGAUAUGAAUAAAUAUGAAUGUGGUUGUAAGACUCUUUAGUUUUUGAUAAUAAUUCUAUAGAGUACAAAUGUUGUGAGCUUUAAAUUUUAAUGGAAUUCUUGACUAUCAUUUAUGGACCA
Long non-coding RNA from Lathyrus oleraceus (garden pea), 764 nucleotides. RefSeq lists it as uncharacterized. Lineage: Eukaryota; Viridiplantae; Streptophyta; Magnoliopsida; Fabales; Fabaceae. The transcript has 2 exons. The record is from RefSeq and is a predicted model, not a curated record.